GCAGUGGUGGUUCAGUGGUAGAAUUCUUGCCUUCCAUGCAGGAGAUCAGGGUUCAAUUCCCCACCAGUGCA
RNAcentral lists this transfer RNA (71 nucleotides) under Loxodonta africana (African savanna elephant). It matches the Rfam family "tRNA". From Rfam's summary of the family: Transfer RNA (tRNA) molecules are approximately 80 nucleotides in length. Their secondary structure includes four short double-helical elements and three loops (D, anti-codon, and T loops). The record is from Rfam by way of RNAcentral. Lineage: Eukaryota; Metazoa; Chordata; Mammalia; Proboscidea; Elephantidae.